GCCCUGCGGCCCGUGGUGGCAGCGGUCCCCGGGUGGGUGGCGCGGUCUCCAGCCCAGAGAUGAUCCUCCAGUUUCCAAGGGCCCAAGGACCCUGAAUCGUUCAAGAGGAAGUCCCUGCCUUGGGAAGCUCAUAGCCUAGGAUGUGAGCCCGGCAGGACAUCAGAGGUGAGGUAUCUGGGCAUAGAAACAGUCAGUGGGACAAGAGUAGGAAAAAAGGACUCUUUACUCUGGUUUGGGAGUCAGGAAAUCCUUCUGACCUAGGAGCCCAGAGUCUUGGGGGCAAAAUCACACCGUAGAUAGAGGGGGAAAGGAUGUUCCAAAGGAGGGAAGGUUACAAGGAUAUAGGGGCCAGAGCGAGUGGAUCUCCUGCUUCCAUCCUUCCCUGUGGCAGGCAGAGGGCAAGGCUUGGUUGGGGAGUGGCUGCCAGGAAUAAAUCCAGUAUCCAUCUGAAAACUUGUUGUCACUUCGCCACUCUCUCCCUCAGUGGCCAGUUUAAAUCUUUUUAAAAUGGGCACCGUGUCAGCCUAGAGCAGUGGUGAUGAACCCAUGGCACACGUGUUAUUCUGUUUUUCUUUUAAGACAAAAAAUGUUAAUGUAUGAAUUGUUUUUUCUUAACUAAAACUUCAGGUUUAAUUGUUGGUACUUUGCAAUAAAUAAGUGGGUUUUGGGUUGCAGUUUGUUCUCCAUCACUGCCCUAGAGCUUGAACCAGGUAAUUCCACUAAACUUAAAGAAACAGGAUUUCACUUUCAACCCCACAUUGGUCAUGACAUCAUCCCCCCUGGAAAUCAGUGUCAGGCAGUUGAAAAUUACCUUUAGCCCACUUUGAUGUUGUUUUUGAUACUGGGGAUUGAACCACAUACCUCCAUCGAAUCACAUACCUCCAUUUUCUUUUCUUUUUGUUUUGGUACUGGGGAUGGAACUCAGGACCUUGUGCUCGGGAGGCAGGCGGCAGAACCACUGAGAGACACGGGAUCUCACUGUGUUGCCCAGGCUGGUCCUAUCCCUGGGCUCAAAGGACCCUCCUGCUUUAGCCUCCUGAAUAACUGGGACCAUAGGACUGUCAGCACCUUCUGCUCUGGAUCUGCAUCCAGGGCUGCUCUCUAGCGCCCCCAUGGGAUCCCGCCUGGCCCUGCAGGGUGGCUCUCUGCCCGCCGCAGCCUCACUUACCCGGGAAAUGACCACGAUCUGCUCCUCGGGCAGCAGGCUGACACGCAUGAAGCAGGACUCGAAGCUGG
Molecule: long non-coding RNA, 1236 nt
Organism: Heterocephalus glaber (naked mole-rat)
Lineage: Eukaryota; Metazoa; Chordata; Mammalia; Rodentia; Bathyergidae
Source: RefSeq, a predicted model, not a curated record